RNAcentral lists this ribosomal RNA (249 nucleotides) under uncultured prokaryote. RNAcentral describes it as "partial 16S ribosomal RNA". It matches the Rfam family "Bacterial small subunit ribosomal RNA", at positions 524 to 772 of the family's 1533-position model. The record is from RNAcentral.
UACGGAGGAUGCAAGCGUUAUCUGGAUUUAUUGGGUUUAAAGGGUGCGCAGGUUGUUUGAUAAGUCAGUGGUGAAAGUCUGUCGCUUAACGGUAGGAUUGCCAUUGAUACUGUUAGACUUGAAUAUGGAUGAGGUAGGCGGAAUGUGUAGUGUAGCGGUGAAAUGCAUAGAUAUUACACAGAACACCGAUUGCGAAGGCAGCUUACUAAUCCAUCAUUGACGCUGAGGCACGAAAGCGUGGGGAUCAAA